RNAcentral lists this ribosomal RNA (1783 nucleotides) under Staphylococcus aureus T83715. RNAcentral's name for it is "bacterial LSU rRNA". It matches the Rfam family "Bacterial large subunit ribosomal RNA", at positions 1138 to 2925 of the family's 2925-position model. Lineage: Bacteria; Bacillati; Bacillota; Bacilli; Caryophanales; Staphylococcaceae. The record is from RNAcentral.
UAGCUCACUAGUCGAGUGACACUGCGCCGAAAAUGUACCGGGGCUAAACAUAUUACCGAAGCUGUGGAUUGUCCUUUGGACAAUGGUAGGAGAGCGUUCUAAGGGCGUUGAAGCAUGAUCGUAAGGACAUGUGGAGCGCUUAGAAGUGAGAAUGCCGGUGUGAGUAGCGAAAGACGGGUGAGAAUCCCGUCCACCGAUUGACUAAGGUUUCCAGAGGAAGGCUCGUCCGCUCUGGGUUAGUCGGGUCCUAAGCUGAGGCCGACAGGCGUAGGCGAUGGAUAACAGGUUGAUAUUCCUGUACCACCUAUAAUCGUUUUAAUCGAUGGGGGGACGCAGUAGGAUAGGCGAAGCGUGCGAUUGGAUUGCACGUCUAAGCAGUAAGGCUGAGUAUUAGGCAAAUCCGGUACUCGUUAAGGCUGAGCUGUGAUGGGGAGAAGACAUUGAGUCUUCGAGUCGUUGAUUUCACACUGCCGAGAAAAGCCUCUAGAUAGAAAAUAGGUGCCCGUACCGCAAACCGACACAGGUAGUCAAGAUGAGAAUUCUAAGGUGAGCGAGCGAACUCUCGUUAAGGAACUCGGCAAAAUGACCCCGUAACUUCGGGAGAAGGGGUGCUCUUUAGGGUUAACGCCCAGAAGAGCCGCAGUGAAUAGGCCCAAGCGACUGUUUAUCAAAAACACAGGUCUCUGCUAAACCGUAAGGUGAUGUAUAGGGGCUGACGCCUGCCCGGUGCUGGAAGGUUAAGAGGAGUGGUUAGCUUCUGCGAAGCUACGAAUCGAAGCCCCAGUAAACGGCGGCCGUAACUAUAACGGUCCUAAGGUAGCGAAAUUCCUUGUCGGGUAAGUUCCGACCCGCACGAAAGGCGUAACGAUUUGGGCACUGUCUCAACGAGAGACUCGGUGAAAUCAUAGUACCUGUGAAGAUGCAGGUUACCCGCGACAGGACGGAAAGACCCCGUGGAGCUUUACUGUAGCCUGAUAUUGAAAUUCGGCACAGCUUGUACAGGAUAGGUAGGAGCCUUUGAAACGUGAGCGCUAGCUUACGUGGAGGCGCUGGUGGGAUACUACCCUAGCUGUGUUGGCUUUCUAACCCGCACCACUUAUCGUGGUGGGAGACAGUGUCAGGCGGGCAGUUUGACUGGGGCGGUCGCCUCCUAAAAGGUAACGGAGGCGCUCAAAGGUUCCCUCAGAAUGGUUGGAAAUCAUUCAUAGAGUGUAAAGGCAUAAGGGAGCUUGACUGCGAGACCUACAAGUCGAGCAGGGUCGAAAGACGGACUUAGUGAUCCGGUGGUUCCGCAUGGAAGGGCCAUCGCUCAACGGAUAAAAGCUACCCCGGGGAUAACAGGCUUAUCUCCCCCAAGAGUUCACAUCGACGGGGAGGUUUGGCACCUCGAUGUCGGCUCAUCGCAUCCUGGGGCUGUAGUCGGUCCCAAGGGUUGGGCUGUUCGCCCAUUAAAGCGGUACGCGAGCUGGGUUCAGAACGUCGUGAGACAGUUCGGUCCCUAUCCGUCGUGGGCGUAGGAAAUUUGAGAGGAGCUGUCCUUAGUACGAGAGGACCGGGAUGGACAUACCUCUGGUGUACCAGUUGUCGUGCCAACGGCAUAGCUGGGUAGCUAUGUGUGGACGGGAUAAGUGCUGAAAGCAUCUAAGCAUGAAGCCCCCCUCAAGAUGAGAUUUCCCAACUUCGGUUAUAAGAUCCCUCAAAGAUGAUGAGGUUAAUAGGUUCGAGGUGGAAGCAUGGUGACAUGUGGAGCUGACGAAUACUAAUCGAUCGAAGACUUAAUCAA